Molecule: transfer RNA, 77 nt
Filed under: Candidatus Hepatincola sp. Av
Lineage: Bacteria; Pseudomonadati; Pseudomonadota; Alphaproteobacteria; Rhodospirillales; Candidatus Hepatincolaceae
Also listed under: 2 other names
Description: tRNA-Ile
Rfam family: tRNA
About the family: Transfer RNA (tRNA) molecules are approximately 80 nucleotides in length.
Source: RNAcentral
GGGUCUGUAGCUCAGUUGGUUAGAGCGCACCCCUGAUAAGGGUGAGGUCGGUAGUUCGAGCCUACCCAGACCCACCA